CGGUGAUAUCUCCUUACCGUUAUCAACGGAGGUACUCGGUCAUGCUGUGGGUUGGCUCAACCUUAGACGUAGAUCGUCGAGAGUGUGACGUGAGGAGAGGUUAGAUGCCUC
Paenibacillus sp. is the source of this 111-nucleotide regulatory RNA element. It matches the Rfam family "epsC RNA". NCBI's taxonomy places the organism in Bacteria, Bacillati, Bacillota, Bacilli, Caryophanales, Paenibacillaceae. The record is from Rfam.